UGCGAAGGUGGCAAGCGUUGUUCGGAUUUACUGGGCGUACAGGGAGCGUAGGCGGUUGGAUAAGCCCUCCGUGAAAUCUCCAGGCUUAACCUGGAAAGUGCGGAGGGGACUGUUCAGCUAGAGGAUGGGAGAGGAGCGCGGAAUUCCCGGUGUAGCGGUGAAAUGCGUAGAGAUCGGGAGGAAGGCCGGUGGCGAAGGCGGCGCUCUGGAACAUUUCUGACGCUGAGGCUCGAAAGCGUGGGGAGCAAACAGG
This 253-nucleotide ribosomal RNA is filed under the name uncultured bacterium. RNAcentral's name for it is "partial 16S ribosomal RNA". It matches the Rfam family "Bacterial small subunit ribosomal RNA", at positions 524 to 776 of the family's 1533-position model. The record is from RNAcentral.